This is a long non-coding RNA of Haplochromis burtoni (Burton's mouthbrooder), 3712 nucleotides long. RefSeq annotates it as torsin family 3, member A. The transcript is spliced from 15 exons. NCBI's taxonomy places the organism in Eukaryota, Metazoa, Chordata, Actinopteri, Cichliformes, Cichlidae. The record is from RefSeq and is a predicted model, not a curated record.
UGGUUGGAGGUUUUCCAGCGUUAGUGUUUGUCUCGUGGUUUUUGACUUUAUUGUACGCCCCCAGUAAUAACUGUUAACCUGUCAUGUAGGUAACGUUGUACUCGGUGGCAUUUUUAAGUGGAAGCUCUUUAGAGCUAAUAAGCGUUAGCCUAGCAGGCCUCAUCCACGUGCAACAGAUCGCGUGUUGGCCUGCGGAUCGUUAGAUCCUGUUUUAAAAGCAGCCUCAGUGCAGUUUAGUCCCGCUUACAUAUGAUGACAUAAUGUUGCUAGGGACAUCUGAGUCGAUGUGAAGUAAAGGCAACAUUCCUGACAAGACGGGGCAAAGGCUGUGAGAAACUGGGCCGGUUAUCUUAGCUGCAUGGCUCCUGCUGCUGGCCAUGCAGCGUAUUUAGUGGGUGUGUAUAACUUUGUGUGAAGUUAUGAGGAUUUUAAUUUAAAAUAUGUUAACCUUCCUGUCGUGUUUGGGUUAAAUCUGACAGAUUAACAACUUAAAACACUCAAAAAUACAGACGGCUCUUCAAAGAUGAAGGAUCACGAUGCUCAUCCUGACUUCUCGACAUCAGCAGAUGCUCGAUGGUGCCGUGAAAGCCCAGAGAUGUGACUGGUCUGUAGGGGACUGAGGAGGUGUCCUCAGGUCCGAGUCCUAACGCUAACAGACGGUCCUGAUGUUGGAUCCAGAUGUGCAUUCUUGGAUCAGCUGCAGGAGUCCCACAAAAGGCAAAGUGGAGAUGUGAACACCUUGCUGUCUGACUCGUUGCUGCUCUGCUGAACGAGCGGGCUCGCGACUCAUCACCAUUCAGAAGAUGAUUAAACACUCAUGGUUGUUCUCUGUGUGAGGGAUGGAGACCCAGUGUGGACCACACCAGAGUGACUGAGAUGUGGAAAAGUUCAAGUUCUUUACCUGGUGUGACGCCUCAGGCACUGAAGCACAAUCAAGCACAAGUCUGUCACUUCAUAAUAAAUCUAAAUGGUGCCGUUUCCUCAAAAGCUGGAAAGUGAUGUUGACAGAUUUUCACCUGCAGGAAUCAGUGUUCAGACCCUGCUCGUGCUAUUACGUCUGGAUUGUGACCUGAUCCUGUUGACGUCAAUUUGUAACAAUAAAAUAUUUGUUAUUGACUCAUUUGUGUGCAUCUGUUUUUCUCCUCCCUUUCUCGAUGGGUGAUGUGUUUGAGCGCCAAAUGAACUGAUCUUAUAUUACUAAACCAGUUGUGCAAACAGUGGCGUAGUAAAGUCUAAUGACACAACUAUGAAAAGUAAAUAAGAUUGAGAGCAAGUGUACGACUUUUCGCCGGAAGUGACGUUAUGUAAUGGAAUGGAGUUCGAUUUGGUCACUUGCUGACCUCCCGAGGGCGGGAAUAUCUAGCUGGCGUUGCUGACCGUGGGUUGUUUGUGGACACGCAAGCCUCGUACCUCGGUAGCGUGACAUUUGCCGUAUGGCGCUGCAGUACAGGCUUCGCUCCCAUUAAAAUGGCUCCAAUCAAAUUUGACGUGAGCAGUAGGGAAUGGGGUAGUAACCGCCCCUCCGCCCGCCCGCGGCGAACCGCACAACAAGCGCCCCUCUUUGGCUUCAGCAGGGAGACGUUGUCGGGGGCGGGGAGGGGUAUCCCAGUCAAAGCAGGCCGCCGGUGGACCACCGCGUUCAGAUAAAUGGGAGAGCAGAAACAGGACUUCGUGUUCAGUGUCGUUUGGACCGCUUCACGUCAGCCUGUUCGCGAUGUCUGCGCGGUGCUUUCUCCUGCUGCUCUGGGCUGUCUCGGCACAGGCCGACUUCUUCCAUUUCGAUAGCAUUAGCAACGUCUCUACUUACUAUUUUAAUUAUAUUUAUUGCAAUAUCUGGGAGGGGGAGUGUCAGCCCAAUCAGGAUGAUGCCACCCAGCAAGUUCCUACCAGGGAUAUCUGGGCAGGGUUUCCUCAGGACUACAUGAGCCUGCUGCAUCAGUGGUACUGUAGCCUGGGUCAGUGCUGCGAGUCCGGAGACUGCAGGAUAACCAACAACAUCACAGGUCUAGCAAGAGACCUUCAGACGAAGCUCCACGGGCAACAUCUGGCUCAGUCUGUGGUUCUGAAAGCCAUCCAGGGUUUCAUCAACAACCCCGAGUCCAACAAGCCCCUGACGCUCUCCUUCCACGGCUGGUCUGGCACAGGCAAGAACUUUGUGGCCCGGAUCAUUGCUGAUAACUUGUACCGGGACGGGGUGAAGAGCGAGUGUGUCCGUUUGUUCAUCGCUCCGUUCCACUUCCCGCACGCCAGGCUGGUGGACACGUACAAGGGUCAGCUGAGAGAAGCAAUUCGAGACAUGGUGCUGCGCUGCCCUCAGACUCUGUUCAUCUUCGAUGAGGCUGAAAAGCUUCAUCCGGGCCUCAUCGACGCAAUCAAGCCCUUCAUGGAUCACUAUGACAACGUAGAUGGGGUCAGCUACCGCAGGGCCAUCUUCCUCUUCCUCAGUAACAUUGGUGGUGCAACAAUCAACGACGUGGCGCUGGACUUCUGGCACUCUGGCCAGAAUCGAGAGGACAUCGGUAUGGAAGACCUGGAGCAUCGGCUGCGAGCUGAGACGAUGGAGUCUCAAGGUGGCUUUGCUCAGAGUGAGCUGAUGUCUGGUCACCUGAUUGACUUCUUUGUGCCCUUUCUGCCCCUGGAGUACCGUCACAUUAAGCUCUGUGCACGGGACGCAUACGCAGCACGAGGUCUGGAAACAGAUGAAGCCACGCUGGAUGAGGUGGCCAAGGCAAUGCUGUAUGUUCCCAAAGAGGAGAGACUGUUCUCAGCCCAAGGAUGCAAGUCCAUACCUCAGAGGAUCAACUUCUUUCUUCCCUAGAGCGAGGAGGAAACAGAGAGACGGACCUGGAGGUGUAAGAUUGCUUUACCAGCCCAUCAGAGCCACAGAGAUGUGUCUUCUUUGCUCUGCACUGCAUACUUCCCCCUCCCCCCACAGAUGCAACAUGUGUCUGUCCAGGUCCCGUCACAGAAGGCCAGACAUCAGGGCAGAUCCAGGAUUAGAGGGCAGAGCAGCGUGACCCAGCCUGCAGAGAUGGGCAGCGUCACAGGAAGUGUGGCUGCUCUUCUUCACCUGCCUGGUUUGAAUCCUGUCAAGACGAAGGGGUGAAGAAGAUGGUGUCUGUGCAGAGUGUGGCGCAGAGGGAGACUUUUUUUUCCUUUUCACUAUUUAUAUCUAAUCCCCUCGGCCAAAGUCUGACUCGCACUGUUGUUUGUGUUCAUAUGAGUUUGUAAUUCAUGUGUUACUAGUGGCAUGUCAAACAUUGUGCUUAUAUCAGCACAGAUUAUUUAUUAAUAUCAUUUGUGCCAUAUUUGAACAUUUUACUGGACCAGAUUAGUUUCGUGGAGUACUCUAAAUGUGCACUUAUUUUAUUUUGUUAGAUUUUUUUAUUCUUUUUAAAAUGAACGUGCAAGGACCAGUGGUGAUGGAAGUGUUACUUGAAGCUCUUACUGUGAAGGACUUUGUCUCUAAAGCAUUGGACCUCUGGAAACUCACCCUUUUACAUACUUGUGUUUUAUAAAAACAUUUUAUAGGUUUUACUGUACUGUUACUUAAUAUACAGUUGUUACUUAGUGGUGUGCUUUACUCUUUUGUUGGUAUAAUUCAUUUAUCAUCAACACAGUCUGCUUCAAAGCUGAGGGUCACAUCACAAUAAGAACACAGAGAGAACCUGUCAGACACGGUUUAAAGAAAUAAAAACCUGGUAAACAACAA